This 358-nucleotide long non-coding RNA is filed under the name Homo sapiens (human). Its description in RNAcentral is "non-protein coding lnc-GPCPD1-8:8". Lineage: Eukaryota; Metazoa; Chordata; Mammalia; Primates; Hominidae. The record is from RNAcentral.
UAAGGCACUGUUGCCAGGGCCUGAGCCCAGCAGGAAAAGGGUGUGUGCAGAGGGAGGGCCUCGGGUCCUGCUGCUCCUCCUGGACUCCUUCAUCCCAAUCCCUUCACAUCCUUCUCUGACAAGGACUCCCACGUCCCUCCCCGGCUAACCUGGAUCCUGCUCAACCCAACACCUGCCUUCUCUCGGUCCCUGGGUUCCCGCAGGCCUUGGGGCCCCACAGUCAUAUCUGCUGUUCCUGCAGCUCGGCACAGUCACAGCAACUCUCCAAAUCAUGACGCUCAAAAUGCCACAUCUAAAAAGAACAUCCGGGUAGGUGCCUCUGCUUCUUCUGACUUGACCCCCCUUCCCUGCCCUCUUU